GCGGGCGUGGCGGAAUUGGUAGACGCGCUAGAUUUAGGAUCUAGUGGGGAGACCCGUGAAGGUUCAAGUCCUUUCGCCCGUA
RNAcentral lists this transfer RNA (82 nucleotides) under Planctomycetota bacterium. Its description in RNAcentral is "Planctomycetes bacterium tRNA-Leu". It matches the Rfam family "tRNA". From Rfam's summary of the family: Transfer RNA (tRNA) molecules are approximately 80 nucleotides in length. Lineage: Bacteria; Pseudomonadati; Planctomycetota. The record is from RNAcentral.